Molecule: small nuclear RNA, 157 nt
Filed under: Jaculus jaculus (lesser Egyptian jerboa)
Lineage: Eukaryota; Metazoa; Chordata; Mammalia; Rodentia; Dipodidae
Description: U1 spliceosomal RNA (ENSJJAG00000004967.1)
Rfam family: U1 spliceosomal RNA
About the family: U1 is a small nuclear RNA (snRNA) component of the spliceosome (involved in pre-mRNA splicing). Its 5' end forms complementary base pairs with the 5' splice junction, thus defining the 5' donor site of an intron.
Source: RNAcentral
AUACUGCCUGGCACUGGAGAUACCAUGAUCAAGAAAGUGGUUUUCCCAGGGUGAGGUAUGUCGAUUGCACUCUGACAUGCUGACCCCUGCAAUGUCAAGUGCAGGAAACUCAAUUGCAUAGUUUGUGGUAGUGGAGCACUGUGUUCACACUCUUCCC